GACGAACGCUGGCGGCGUGCUUAACACAUGCAAGUCGAACGGAAAGGCCCUGCUUUUGUGGGGUGCUCGAGUGGCGAACGGGUGAGUAACACGUGAGUAACCUGCCCUUGACUUUGGGAUAACUUCAGGAAACUGGGGCUAAUACCGGAUAGGAGCUCCUGCUGCAUGGGGGGGGUUGGAAAGUUUCGGCGGUUGGGGAUAGACUCGCGGGUUAUCAGCUUGUUAGGGGGGUAGUGGCUUACCAAGGCUUUGACGGGUAGCCGGCCUGGGAGGGUGACAGGCGACAAGGCUACUGAGGGACGGCCCAGACGCCUAUGGUACGCAGUAGGCGGGAAUAUUGCGGAAUAACCGCACGCGUGAUGCAGAAGCGCUGCGUGCGGAAUGACGUCCUAUUAGGGAAGAACCGCUGUCUAAGUAAAUGUGCACGUCUUGACGGUACCUAAUAAGGAAGCCCCGGCUAACUACGUG
This 468-nucleotide ribosomal RNA is filed under the name uncultured bacterium. RNAcentral describes it as "partial 16S ribosomal RNA". It matches the Rfam family "Bacterial small subunit ribosomal RNA", at positions 28 to 507 of the family's 1533-position model. The record is from RNAcentral.